AUUGAACGCUGGCGGCAGGCCUAACACAUGCAAGUCGAGCGGAUGAAGGGAGCUUGCUCCUGGAUUCAGCGGCGGACGGGUGAGUAAUGCCUAGGAAUCUGCCUGGUAGUGGGGGAUAACGUCCGGAAACGGGCGCUAAUACCGCAUACGUCCUGAGGGAGAAAGUGGGGGAUCUUCGGACCUCACGCUAUCAGAUGAGCCUAGGUCGGAUUAGCUAGUUGGUGGGGUAAAGGCCUACCAAGGCGACGAUCUGUAACUGGUCUGAGAGGAUGAUCAGUCACACUGGAACUGGGACACGGUCCAGACUCCUACGGGAGGCAGCAGUGGGGAAUAUUGGACAGUGGGCGAAAGCCUGAUCCAGCCAUGCCGCGUGUGUGAAGAAGGUCUUCGGAGUGUAAAGAACUUUAAGUUGGGAGGAAGGGCAGUAAGUUAAUACCUUGCUGUUUUGACGUUACCAACAGAAUAAGCACCGGCUAACUUCGUG
Molecule: ribosomal RNA, 484 nt
Filed under: uncultured bacterium
Lineage: Bacteria
Description: partial 16S ribosomal RNA
Rfam family: Bacterial small subunit ribosomal RNA
Source: RNAcentral